Molecule: transfer RNA, 76 nt
Filed under: actinobacterium SCGC AAA044-D11
Lineage: Bacteria; Bacillati; Actinomycetota; Actinomycetes
Also listed under: 3 other names
Description: tRNA-Arg
Rfam family: tRNA
About the family: Transfer RNA (tRNA) molecules are approximately 80 nucleotides in length. Their secondary structure includes four short double-helical elements and three loops (D, anti-codon, and T loops).
Source: RNAcentral
GUCCUAGUAGCUCAGUGGAUAGAGCAACCGCCUCCUAAGCGGUAGGUCGCAGGUUCAACUCCCGCCUAGGACACCA